CCUACGGGUGGCAGCAGUCGAGAAUCAUUCACAAUGGGGGAAACCCUGAUGGUGCGACGCCGCGUGGGGGAAUGAAGGUCUUCGGAUUGUAAACCCCUGUCAUGUGGGAGCAAAUUAAAAAGAUAGUACCACAAGAGGAAGAGACGGCUAACUCUGUGCCAGCAGCCGCGGUAAUACAGAGGUCUCAAGCGUUGUUCGGAAUCACUGGGCGUAAGGCGUGCGUAGGCUGUUUCGUAAGUCGUGUGUGAAAGGCGCGGGCUCAACCCGCGGACGGCACAUGAUACUGCGAGACUAGAGUAAUGGAGGGGGAACCGGAAUUCUCGGUGUAGCAGUGAAAUGCGUAGAUAUCGAGAGGAACACUCGUGGCGAAGGCGGGUUCCUGGACAUUAACUGACGCUGAGGCACGAGGGCCAGGGGAGCGAAAGGGAUUAGAUACCCCAGUAGUC
RNAcentral lists this ribosomal RNA (446 nucleotides) under uncultured bacterium. Its description in RNAcentral is "partial 16S ribosomal RNA". It matches the Rfam family "Bacterial small subunit ribosomal RNA", at positions 338 to 795 of the family's 1533-position model. The record is from RNAcentral.